GGUUAAGUCAUUCACAGGUGUUCAUCGAAUAAUGUUGUUGUUACUGUACAUGGUGUUCAUUGGAGUUUCUUGUUCAAGGAGCAGCAAAUAGGAACAUGGGGAAUAGAAGUAUCUUGGAAGAUUUCAGGUACAGAAGAUUCCAGAAAAAGGAGAAGUGUGUAUUCUCAAGUAUGCUGCAGGUACUGGAUUUCAGAGGAAAAAGAGAAAGAGGAAGAAGAGGAGGAAAAGAAAGAAAAAGAAAGGUUGCUGUGUCAUUGAUGACAUCUCACUAGAAUUUCUUCAAGGAAGCUCCUAGCAAAUAUCAUAUGGAGAAAAAGAUACAGUAUUCCAGACCACCCCUGACUCUAAAAGGAAAACCCUGGGAAUUAUUAGAGAGUUAUCUUCUCUCUCAGGACCUCUACAAUUCACAGAAUUUAUGACAUCAGUGAAAAACCCACAGGAUCUGGGUUUGCUCUUCCAUGCAAUGAUUCAAAAUAUCCCCUUUCUCCUAGCUGCUCUAAGUAAAUCUUGGUUUGCUAAAAGCAAAGAUCUGUUAAAGAAUUGAAGAAAUGGAAAGCAGAGGCUAAAUGACUUGACCAAGAUCACACAGCUAAAUUGAAGAAAUGGAAAGCAGAGGCUAAAUGACUUCAUCAAGAUCACACAGCUAGUAAGUAUUUGAAACUAGAUUGAAAUAUCCCUGACUUCAAGCCUAGAGCUCUAUUUACUAUAUUACUUCACUGCCUUUAAAUAACA
Long non-coding RNA from Antechinus flavipes (yellow-footed antechinus), 732 nucleotides. RefSeq lists it as uncharacterized. The record is from RefSeq and is a predicted model, not a curated record. NCBI's taxonomy places the organism in Eukaryota, Metazoa, Chordata, Mammalia, Dasyuromorphia, Dasyuridae. The transcript has 6 exons.